UAAAGAGAGGCGAUGAAGCUCGCGCAAGUACCGGGAGAGACGACAACGCCACGGAAAAGUAGUUAUAAGCCAUUUGAAACCGUUUAAAGUUACUGUUGUCACUGAAACACUAAACUAUAUGGGUUGUUUGUGUGUUACCGGUACUUAAUGUUGGAGUGAGCCAAGUUCAGAGCUGUUUCAGCCGGGAAUCGUACUGCAUGUCCGCGACGCCAUUUUCGUGGUGUCUGGAGCUACAGUUAGCCUCGUUCCCGCUAGCUAGGAGAAGGAGACCACGCGUUUGUGUGAGGGAGAAAUAUUUUGCGCAGUUUCCUGAGUGAGUAUGGGCAUUAUUUUAUGGUGGCCAAGAACAGCGACUGCUGCAAAUAAAAAAAGUAUCCAAAAAACAAAACAAAAAAGAAGCCACAACAGAAGUUACUGAUGCAUCAAAAGAGAAACUGAAGCCCGCUGCAAAAAAAAUUUAUGGCUUUUUUAAUUUGCAUCCUUUUCUUUUUGCAGUAAGUAACUUUUUUUUCCAUUGCCACUGUUUUUUGCAUCGUUAACUUCCAUUGCAGCUGUCUUUUUUUUCUUUAUCUGCACCGUUUCUUUUUUUAUUUGCAGCGGGCUUCAGCUUCUUUUUUUUGCAUCGGUAACUGUCGUUGUGAUGCAGUGGCCAUUCUUGGCCACUGUAUUACUUGAACUGAUGACAGUAUGAAAAUGUUUAAGAGCGAACAGUGAGUUUAUUAGUGUUUUGAAUUUCUGCCAGGGGGCGCUCAGAAUUCACGUUGUCUUCAGAGAACCUGCUGUUUCAUGAGGAUGUGUCCCAGGAGUAGUAUCUUCAUCUUCGUUCACUGUACUCCUCUGAACUGAGGGUUUGAGGAAACUGUUGCUAUCCGUGAGUACUGAGAAACACUUUGACAAGGAUACAUGAGCACUAACAUGCACGUUAAUGAUAAGGUACCAUAACUGAGUUACAAAACCCUGGGGAUUUUUAUUUUAUUUUAUUUUAUGGACUCUAAAGGGUCACCAGAUCAAGGUGAAGGGUGAUUGUCUGUGUUUAUUUGUUUGGAAUGAACAUUUCAUCCUGUUGCAAUGUAUAUUUGCAGUCGUACUGUUUAUUUGAAUGUGGUGUUAUUAGGGCCAUAGUGUGUGAAAGGUUCAUGCAUUGUAGUAUUAAAGCUAAAUGGGCCUCUCUGCACUCUAUAGGCAGAGUCAUAUGCUCUAUGUAAAAGUAAACGCAUUACAGGGUUAAUAUUUUAGUAGAGUCCCUCCAAAUCAGCUCCCAUACUAAAGGAGUCAUCAGGUAUAAGGGGUUUUACCAUGACAAUUCUGUAACAAAUUAGAGUUAAUUGGGAGGGCUACAUUAAAAGUUUAAAUCUUACACUAAUGCAGUAAAGCUCCUCCACGGGAAACAUAGAAAAUACUCAGAUCAUUCAUCAACUUUUUGUUGCAUUUACAAGCAAACAGCUGCUCAGGUGCAGCAGCACAGCAGCCAACAGAGUAAAACCAGUGUUGUGUGUUGCUCCCUGUGAAUGAGUGUAAUUAAAUGAAUCUGCAGUGAGGCUGUGAUGGAGCUAAAAAAGCACGCUCAGCAAACCCCCAAUAUAAGAGAAAUAAUGGCUGGUGAAAGAAUAAUAAGGUUUUGUAAUAAUGUAGCUGCAGAAAAGCCAGCAUGAGAGAAACAAAUGCGGUUAAUGUGCCCUCCUCUAUUUAUUCCCUGAUGGUUAAAGAAGCUGCUCAAUACAAAACUGCACACGCUCAGUCCACUGCCCCCCCCCUUUAUAAGACCUCUUAGAUGAUCUGUGAGUUUUAUCAAACCAACAGGAAGCACAGUAACAGCAGCACACUUGCGUCUCUACGUACGUAAAAGCUAACAUUUGAAUUUGUUGUGUUAGACUGGAUGGAUUAGAGUAUAUUUGUGCAGGAUCAGGAACAAAUUCGACUUAAAUUGUGAGGAAAAGGCAAAGAUAAACCACAAAGUAUCAAAAUAUUCAUGCUUACCAUAACAAUGACAGAGAUCAUAUUGUAUUAUCUUGUUUUAUUCCAAUAGAUUUUACAUUUUAAGCUCCCAUUUAAUGGAAAUGUAUGUAUUGUUUCAUAAAAAAUCAUAGUUGUCCCUAAUGCAGAGUUUUAAAUUUAAAACUCUACAUCUUAAAUACAUUCCAUUCUUUUUACAGAUGUACUCAUGUCCCAGAUUUACUGUGAAAUAAAACCUUAUUUUUAAUACCACAAAUAGAAAAUCAUAACAUGGUCAUGACUAUUUGCAGGAGCACACAUUAGCCGGUCAUGGCUGUGCACAGUGUCUGUCCGAGUGUGUGAAUGUAAAUUGAAUCCAUUUGUUAGCAUUCUCGUCACGAGGAGGAGCUUGAUAAUUAGCUGCUGUAAUUCAGAAACAAUGACUCCAGCCUCUAGCUGCGCACGGCGGCCUCCAGGCACCGGAAAGGACGAGAUGAACGGCCCCAUUCAGCGGCUCCACACAGUCAACAGCACCCAUGGGUGAAGUCCAAACCCUUGUGACAGAUUUUGUUUGUUAUGAAGUGGCAGCAACUCACUGGCUUACAGUCCCAUGAAGGCAGGCUGGCACUUCAUUACUCACAAGGUAAGGGGUGGUAACUAAUUAAUAUGCUGCAGCAUUAAUCAUUGUGUAAUGAAGUGCAGUUUCUAUGUUAAUUGAAUGGAGAAACAAUGGCCCACUGAGGUGGUGUAAACUUGCAAAAUGUAACCUGAUACUGCCACCAGGAAUAAGACAGUUUAAGAUUACACGCACACAAACACACACAAGCAGAGGUGCAGGAGUCUCUCUCUCUCUCACACACACAGAUUAAGAGGAUAUUUUAAAACAAUAAAGUCAGCCUUUCCAUUGAGUAUGAUAUCAUCUUUUAAUCAAAGCCAGUCUGGGCGGUGAUAUUAGGUCUCUUACCUUGAAUUUCACCCUUCUUCUGUUUGGUUUAGACUAAAAUUCAAGUUGUUUUUUAAUCAAAAACAUCAUGUUUAUGAUUGAAGCAGGGUUCAGCGCCUUACUCUUUGUGUCAUCUCGGUGACAUGCUGAAGUUAAAGCACUGUCACACCAUCACAUGUCACUCGUGUCUCUGUGACAGACAAAAACAGUAUUUCUACCUCAAGGUAAACAAAGAGGUUUGAAGGGCUGCUUGACAAACGCAACGGCAGUCAAUCAGAUAACUGAAAUCUGCUUUAGCAUAGAAUAAAGUUGAGAUUAUACCUCUGUGCAGAAAUCUAUCUCAGUGACUACUGAAGCAUCUUUUAAAAAAUCUGAAAAUUUUGCGUCUUUUAAAGCAGAUGUUGAGAAUAUGAGAAUACUUUGAAAACAGUUCUCAUUGCAUUUGAUUUGAAAUAACUAGGGUUAUCAAAAUUAUAGAUACUUUGAAAAGUAUUGAUACUUACACGCCGUAUCAGGGAACGAUACUAAUUUGCCAUGGUAUUGAUACUACCAUGUGCGUGCCCGCAGCGCCCGCCGCGUGCACUCUGCAAGCAGCACGGCCGACCCGGCAGACAGCGUCCGGUAGUCGGGAGAGCCCUGAUGAGUUCCGGCAGGUUAGUAAAGCUCCUGUUCAUCCUAUACUUUACUGUAGGAAACUCAUUAAUGAUGUUAGUCUGGCCGGUCGCCAGCAUUAAUCCGCGGAAGCUGCAGUGAGCUUUAUGAUCAGUGAAUGUUGUUUGUUCUGUUUUCAGCCAUUAACUGCGUGCCCAUGGCUAGCAGCCUUUAGCUAACUAACAUGACUCAAACGUGUUUUCUUCUCUUAAAGAUGCAGACUGAAGCAAAGAGAAGUAAACCUGCGACUAAACCAAAGAAACCACAGCCUACUCUUCUACUGCUAUUUGAAAAACAGAGGAAGUAUGACCCAAAGUCUCCUGAAGCUGUCAAACUAAACAGCAGUGUACAUCUGUGAGGACCAACUAACCAUUUACAUUUUUCAUGUUAAUAAAAAUAAUUUUUAUGCCUUUUAAA
RNAcentral lists this long non-coding RNA (3943 nucleotides) under Xyrichtys novacula (pearly razorfish). Lineage: Eukaryota; Metazoa; Chordata; Actinopteri; Labriformes; Labridae. The record is from RNAcentral.